GCUCCCACAAUGUGGUGCACGUUCCUAAAGCCUUCCAGACUUUCUAUAAGAAGUGUGGCAAGCACCAACCCCACAAAGUGGCACAGGACAAGAAGGGCAAGGAUGCCAUGUAUACGCGGGGAAAUCCUCUAACCUAAGUAUUGUUUGUGUAUAUCAAGGCCACUGAUUUCUGUAAGCCGAUUUUCCAGAAAAAGGCUAAAACUACAAAGGAGAUGGUGCUGAGGCUUGAGCGCUGAGCCCAGCUACAGAUCUAAGACGAUGCGGGCUAUGAGGACAUGCAAGCAUUUUGAACUGGGAGGAGAUAAGAAGAGAAAGGGCCAAGUGAUUCAGUUC
This 333-nucleotide long non-coding RNA is filed under the name Homo sapiens (human). Its description in RNAcentral is "non-protein coding lnc-CALB2-5:1". Lineage: Eukaryota; Metazoa; Chordata; Mammalia; Primates; Hominidae. The record is from RNAcentral.